UACGUAGGGCGCAAGCGUUGUCCGGAUUCACUGGGUGUAAAGGGUGCGCAGGCGGGAAGGUAAGUUAGAGGUGAAAUCUCACGGCUCAACCGUGAAACUGCCUUUGAUACUGCUUUUCUUGAGUUAGGGAGAGGUUGAUGGAAUUCCAGGUGUAGCGGUGAAAUGCGCAGAUAUCAGGAGGAACACCAAUUGCGAAGGCAGCUCGCUGGGACGUUACUGACGCUGAGACGCGAAAGCGUGGGGAGCAAACAGG
Molecule: ribosomal RNA, 253 nt
Filed under: uncultured bacterium
Lineage: Bacteria
Description: partial 16S ribosomal RNA
Rfam family: Bacterial small subunit ribosomal RNA
Source: RNAcentral